Non-coding RNA from Pelobates cultripes (western spadefoot toad), 244 nucleotides. The record is from the annotation of a GenBank genome assembly. Lineage: Eukaryota; Metazoa; Chordata; Amphibia; Anura; Pelobatidae.
CAUACCAGUUGAAAAAGUAUACAACCCAAGGUAUUGCAAAUGGGGUAUGUCCAUUCUUUUUUAGUAGCCACUUUGUCACAAACACUGGCCAAAGUUAGUGUUCGUAUUUGUUUGUGUGUGAAAAAUGCAAAAAACUAAUUUGAACGGCAAUUUUGGCCAGUGUUUGUGACUAAGUGGCUACUAAAAAAGACUGGACAUACCCAAUUUGCAAUACCUUGGGUUGUAUACUUUUGCAAAUGGUAUG